AACCUCCUCUCCCUAAAAUAAAUCAAACCACCCCAUACCCGCACCCCCAUCAAUACCUCGCCCGCCAUCUCUCUCCCCCGAUUCCCCUCUUUCCCAUCUAUCUUCCAUUGCGGCCGCCGCCACCUUCAAUUCUGCCUAGAUCCGGCGCUGUCCCGCGAUGUCGCUCAUAGGUCAGGCUCCCCCUCAGUGCACUCAUCCUAUAUUCUUCCUUGGCGACGUCCUCCACACCACUGCACGCGUCCUGCAGUACUAGUCGACACGGAUUGCCGGCGCAGCUCGCUCGCCUCUGUUUCGGAGGCCACUGCUCCGCGUCACUGCUGCAGGCUCGGGCAUGGAUCUGAAAUAAGCUGUGUGUAGGGUGAUGCUCCCUUGUCUCGAUGCUGGCCGGCAAUGGAGACGGACCCGAGGUGAGAGUAGGAUAGGGUGGAACUCCAGCCGUGUUCCUCAACUGCCAAUUGGAUCCCGCACGUGCGGGUGGUUCUUGUGGCUCGCGAAGCCUUCGGCGGCGGUGGUGCCCCUUUUGGAUUUAUUUUGGCGCCCGGCGUGCUCAAGCUCUGGUGGUCUCGCGUGCGUUUGUCUACAGCUGCGUGCGUGGUUGGCUCGUGUGCAUGUCUGAUGUCUCUGUGUGGUGCGUCCAUGCUGAUUGAAAGUACAGCCAUGUGACACUGAUUGUUUGCUACUGCCGCUGAUUACUAGGCCGAUGCUGCUCCUUAGUUCCUAACUUCCUAUACAGUAGAUAGAAGAUGAUUACCGCUGACGCUCAUUGUUUGCUAUCGCCGCUGGAUGCUAUUGCUGCUGCCGAUGAUUGCUGUUGCCAUUGCUGCUGAUAUUGCUUCUCCUUAUAUUAGUACCUAUACCGUAGAUGAUAUUCAUUCCCAAAUAAAAAAUAUAGAAGAUCUGUAUGUUUUAAAAUUCUUGCAAAUUGAACGAACUACUUGUUAUCUCUUCUCUAAUCUUUCUCUUGAUCAGAUUCUCUUUUUUACUAUCCAUUGCAAAAUUUACUCAAUAAUAUGUACAAUGCGUACAAUAAUAAUCAUGAAACCAUCUAGCUCCUUAUUGAGUCCAUGGCCCCUUUUUCCAUGCAAUGGUUAGUAUUAUUUGUUCCACCUGUAUCUCAUCAUAUGAUUUUUUUCCCUUGCAAUUUUUGUGCUUGCAAGAUGUCAGCUAGCAGUCUAUCAGUAUCUAAACAAUGCAGUAACCAUGAUGUUGGUAUGAAACUGUCCUACAGGUCAGGUUUUGAACUGUUGACAAUAGAUGCGCAGAUUGAUAAGAUUGUGUUAAAAUCAUUAAUUUGCCUUGGCUGAUCGUGUAAGGGAUUAACUUUCUUUAUUGGCGUGCAGCUUCAGGGGCAGAUGGAAAUGUAUAGCUUAUGACAUAAUCACAGAAAGUCGGGCAACCCAUUCGCUUACUUGAUAAAUCCUCCCCUGGUUCAGUCCACUAAGGUGUCCAUUUCCUUAUCUCCUCCUCAUGACGCAGCAUUCUUAUUUAUUCCAUAUCCUUAAUUUUUACACUAACUAGUCCAGCGAGUCUUUGUUAGUUAAGUGUGCCAGUAUAUGUCUAUUUUUUCCGAUCAUAACUUUUGUACAUGCCUAUAUUUUGUAGAUUCAUAUAGGUAUUGAUAUUCAGGUAUUCAAUGCAUGACAAAUGAUACAUGAUUAGGGAGCUGAAUUGUGACCAAAGAUCAAAUCCUCUUGGGCAUAUGAUAUUCUACAUUGGCAGGAAAGGCACAUGGGCAGUGUUUCUUAUAACUGGGUGAGAAUUUCAAUACAAGAUGAUUACUUGGAUCUUGGAGAACGUAUGAUGGUUCUUGGUACUUGGAGGAAAAACAAGACAAUUCUCUGAAUGUUUAGAAAUUUUAUAUUUUGUUUUAUUUUAUUUUUCGAAGGAAGUGAUGUACUCCUAAUUGAUGAUACUUCCAUUGUAAUGUAACAGAUUGUUCCAUUGAAUCAAUAUAUCAUUUUCAUUUCUA
This is a long non-coding RNA of Triticum aestivum (bread wheat), 1969 nucleotides long. RefSeq lists it as uncharacterized. Lineage: Eukaryota; Viridiplantae; Streptophyta; Magnoliopsida; Poales; Poaceae. The transcript is spliced from 2 exons. The record is from RefSeq and is a predicted model, not a curated record.